CACGUAGGGUGCAAGCGUUGUCCGGAAUUAUUGGGCGUAAAGGGCUCGUAGGCGGUCCGUCACGUCGGGAGUGAAAACUCGUGGCUCAACCCCGAGCCUGCUUUCGAUACGGGCGGACUAGAGGUAGGUAGGGGAGAACGGAAUUCCUGGUGUAGCGGUGGAAUGCGCAGAUAUCAGGAGGAACACCGGUGGCGAAGGCGGUUCUCUGGGCCUUACCUGACGCUGAGGAGCGAAAGCGUGGGGAGCGAACAGG
This 253-nucleotide ribosomal RNA is filed under the name uncultured bacterium. Its description in RNAcentral is "partial 16S ribosomal RNA". It matches the Rfam family "Bacterial small subunit ribosomal RNA", at positions 524 to 776 of the family's 1533-position model. The record is from RNAcentral.